Molecule: unclassified non-coding RNA, 328 nt
Filed under: fungal sp.
Lineage: Eukaryota; Fungi
Description: partial internal transcribed spacer region
Rfam family: Eukaryotic small subunit ribosomal RNA (bases 1-46)
Source: RNAcentral
AAGUCGUAACAAGGUUUCCGUAGGUGAACCUGCGGAAGGAUCAUUAUAGAAAUAUAUAGUUGGGGGAAAGAGAGAAGGGGAGGUGUUUACGCCUCUUUUUUUUUUCUUUUUCCCUCUAACUCUUUUACCCCACUGUGAAUCAUCAGGUAAGAGAUGAUGUGGGAGAUGUAAUGUGGAUAGUCGUCUACAUUCCGUCUACACCCAUCUCUAACCCUAUCAACACCUCUAACCUCUUGUCUUAUCAUCAUAACUAUAUCUAUCAUCCUGUUGCAAAACAGGAUGGUAUAAAAACUAUAUACAACUUUUAACAACGGAUCUCUAGGCUCUC